AUGGAGCAGUCGGUGAAUGGGCGGUCGUGCCCGUCAGUUGCCUGCAGUUCUAUGGAGUGGACCACCGUCUGGUGAGAGAAAAGGAGACCCAUGGAUUACUUCCGACCAGCAACUAUGAUGGUCAAGAGGCCCACCUGUGAAGGUUCCGAUUCUACAAAUCUGGGGUGAGGUCCAGUGUUAAGAAAACCACUUAGACAAUCUCUGGAGGUUCAGGGGGUGGAAGUCAGGAGAUUGUGAAAAUUCCUUGAAACUGUAUGACACACACACUUUCUUAUUUUCCUUCUAGAGACAGUUUAUAGUUUUUAAUAGUUUCUCAAAGUAUUAUAUGACUCAUAAAAUGUUCAGGACUCUUUGUCUAGGACCAGGAAGCCGAUCUUCCAGGAUGCAUGCCAAUAGUGGAGGGAGGUUAAUACAGCAAACCAGGGCACCAAGACACAAGAUCCAGAAGACUGGAAGGAAAACCAUGACCAGAAGAAGGAAGCCCCAGAUGCGUACUCUUCAUUUUUCUUAACAGCCUAGCAUUAAAGUGAAAGUGAAGUUGCUCAGUCAUGUCCAACUCUUUGCAAUCCCAUGGACUGUAGCCUACCAGGCUCCUCUGUCUAUGGAAUUUUCCAGGCAAGAGCACUGGAGUAGGUUGCCAUUUCCUUCUCCAGGGGAAUCUUCCCGACCCAGGGAUUGAACCCGGGUCUCUUGCGUUGCAGGCAGACACUUUACCAUCUGAGCCACAAGGGAAGCAUUAUGUUGUAUUUAAAAAUGCUCACUUGAAUCAGUUUACAUUUAAAAUACUUGGAAUCUGAUUAGCCUCAGCAGUCAAAACUCCAAACUGUUUUAACACGUGCAUGUCUAUGUUUAGCUCAUUUAAAAAGCAGUAAGAGGCUGGAGACUAGGAUUCCUUGCUAUUCGAGAAUACAUUCUUUUGAGGACACUGGCUCAUGAAAAUGUAGGCAUGUCCUUCACUGUGACGGGACCUAAAGUGUUAUAUUAAGUGACAGGUGUUUGCCCCAUUUGCUUCUCAUCCCGCUUGUUAUUUAAUCAUUAAGUUUUUUCCAACUCUUUGGGACCCUGUGGACUGUAGCCCACCAGGCUUCUCUGUCCAUGGGAUUUCCCAGGCAAGAACACUGGAGUGAGUUGCCAUUUCCUUCUCCAGGGGAUCUUCCCAACCAAGGGAUCAAACCUGCAUCUCCUGGACUGGCAGGCAGAUUCUUUACUACUGAGCCACCUCGGAAGCCCUAUCCCACUUGCCAAUGAGAAUUAUUUGACAGUUCUGGUUGAACAUGUCUUUGCCUUGUAAGGGAGGUUCUGAGUCAGCCAGCUCAGUUCCUGCCCUUUAGUUGGGUAGAAUCAGAAUAACAGGUAGACGUUGUGGAAGAACUACAGUGAGUGAAAUUAGUUUAUUUAUGUUUGGAUGAGUUCGCAUGAAAACAAUGACAUAUGGCAGAGGGAAGGGACUCGAGGAUGCUCCAGGGUUGUACCGGGCAGACCUUACAGCUGCCACUUGAGGAGCUGGAAGAGCAUCUUUGGGCAGCUGCUAAGGAGGAGAAAUGCAGGGAGUGGAAGGGAAUGAGGAUUUUAAGAAUUCUUCCUGUGGAUUAUGAAUUGGACUCCUUUGAUGUUCUUUGAGACACAGGAGCAUAAAUUUGAAUUCUCUUUAGGAAUUCUGGUGAUUAUACUGUGUGCCUCUGAAAGUGACUUAUAUGUGUGCUGAACUGCAUGGGCUCAGGGUUUUUAAAAAUAUUUUAAAUCAUGGUAAAGAACACAUGGAGAAGAAAAUGGCAACCCACUCCAGUAUUAUUGCCUGGAAAAUCCUAUGGACAGAAGAGCCUGGCAGGCUACAGUUCAUGAGGUUGCAGAGAAUCACACACGACUGAGCAACUGAGCACAAGAAAUACAUAACAUAUAAUUACCAUCUUAGCCACUUCUAAGUGUAACUUUAAGUUCAUUAGUUUAAGCAUAUUCACAUUAUUGCGCAACUAAAUCUCCAGAAUUUUUUCAUCAUGUAAAACUGAAGAUUCAUAGCUAUGCUCAUUGAACACCAGCUCCCCAUUUCUUCAUCCCCCAGCCCCUGGAAACCAUCAUCCUGCUUUAUGUUCCCAUGUACUUGACUACUUUAGAUCGCUCAUUUGAAUGGAAUCAUACAGUCUUUUCGUGACAGGCUUACUUUACUUGGCAAGACAUUCUCAAGAUUUAUCCAUGUUUUAGCAAGUGACAGGAUUUCCUUUCUUUUUAAGUUUAAAUGAUAUUUCAUUGUACCUACAGGAUUUCAUUUGGUUACAUUAAAAUGGCUUUCCAAUUAUAUCUAAUAGUAUGAUAAAUUAAGGACUCAACUUCUCCCCCAGCUUCUGCUCCAAUACUCCUAAUAAUUAAAAUACCGUGUGUGUGUGUGUGUGUGUGUGUGUGUGUGUGUGUGUUAAGUCGCUUCAGUCAUAUCCGACUCUGUGAGCCUAUGGAGUGUAGCCCACCAGGCUGCUGUGUCCAUGGGAUUCUCCAGGCAUGAACACUGGAGUGGGUUGCCAUGCCCUUCUCUAGGGGAUCUUCCCAACCCAGGGUCUGAACCCAUGUACCAUAUAUACUUGAUUCACCUUUGAAGAGGCCAGUCAGCAUAUAAUUAUGGCUCUCCAAGAAGCAUAAUUUGAGAGCAAAUCACUAAGAGUACUUUCAUUAUAAAGCUUUGAAUGAGGAAAAAUAAUAUAUCAAGUUACCAUUCCAUCGAGGACUUUUCCAAAUACCACAUGUUUGCCGUCCAGCCAGGUGGGCUUGGUCAAGGUGAUAAAGAACUGAGAGCCGUUGGUGUCAGGCCCUGCAUUGGCCAUGCUGACCCACCCAAUGCCAUAAUGCUUCAGUUUGAAGUUCUCAUCUGGGAAUGUCUCACCAUAAAUGCUUAUACCUGGGUGAGACAAAACAAAAAGGGUAGAGUCAAAAGAUGUUAUACAAAAGUAAAUUCUUCAAAGGGAAGUAUAAGGUUUGAGUAGAACUGGUUAAGAGAACCCUAUAGAAGAAGAUGGGAAUGAGGAAAAGAUAGUCAAACAUAAAGAGCAAUUAAGCAGAGGAUAAAAUUUACUCCUUAAGGAAACAGAGCACCAGGGACCAAAAGAAACAAACAAAAGCCUUAAGUAUGACACAAGAUGGCAAAGAUGCCCUCUGGCCUCAAACGAACACCCAAACCUUGACCAAGCAAGUCAGUGAUUUCACUUUGAAAUGAGAAGGAAGGGAAGGACAGGAUGGCAUGGUAAUGUCUGAUGGAAUGAUGGGUAAGCCAUCCUAGUGACCCCGUCGCUGUCCUGAGUGUCAGGUCGCUUGUCCUGGGUCACUCAUACCUCAGCAGCCAAGCCAACUGCAAUAUACACUUAAUAUACACCCUUAGCCAAUCCUCAUAACAGUCCUAUAGGAUAGGUUCUCUCAUUGCCACUGUGAAUGGGAAACUUAUCAAACUUAUCAAAUGGGAGCUUAUCAAACUUGAAAAAAGUAAAACUUGAACUUCUGGCUCCAACUCUGGUUCUCUAAGCACUUAGAGCCUCAGUACUAAGAAGAACAGUGCCAGCCUGGAAGUCAUUAGGCUUGAUGACUUCAGGGUACAGAGGGUGACAGCAACUGGGAGCAGCCAGGGAGCCAGCCUUGAGCCAGAGGCAGGCAUGGGGGCUGGAGAUCUAGCACAGCACAUUUUUCCUAUAAAACAACAGUUCAGACCAUCUGCUCCAUCCCCCAACCCUGAGUGCCUAUGACACCCAACUUCUCCACUGCAGGGCACCUUAUCCAUCGGUGGCCAGCCUUAAAGUCCUGGCUCAGUUAGCGCUCAUGUUAUCUCCUCCUCACUAUGCAGUACUUGUGAAGGACCAGGCAAAAAAGUUCCUUAAGACUUGGCUCUUACAUGGGCAUUUUCCUUCAUUUUAUACAACCAAAACCUCUUCAUAGCUAGCAUAGUUAACUUUUCAAACAGGUUAUCUAGAAAGAGUUGCCAUAGAGGAAUAGCAAGGACACUUUGUGAAUCUUAAGGUGUACAUCUUGGGAUAUACAGCUUCUAAAUAAAUAACUGGAUAUUUUAACAACUUCA
Bubalus bubalis (water buffalo) is the source of this 4048-nucleotide long non-coding RNA. RefSeq lists it as uncharacterized. The record is from RefSeq and is a predicted model, not a curated record. Lineage: Eukaryota; Metazoa; Chordata; Mammalia; Artiodactyla; Bovidae. The transcript has 2 exons.